RNAcentral lists this long non-coding RNA (6366 nucleotides) under Homo sapiens (human). RNAcentral's name for it is "endogenous retrovirus group K13 member 1". Lineage: Eukaryota; Metazoa; Chordata; Mammalia; Primates; Hominidae. The record is from RNAcentral.
AUCGCGGGGGGCGGGGCGUCGCGGGCACAGCGUGAGGGCCGCCGUUGCUGGAGUUCAGCUUAGGGAAGGAGGACUCUGAGGAGGCCCCGAGCGGCGGAGCGCUUCGGGGGAGGCGCCCGCGCAGACGCGAGGCCCAUAGCCAGGACCACCACCUAGCUGUUCUACAGUCUGGGGACGACGGUUUAAAAAUUUAUGCCUUGCAUGCGAUGUGCAGUGGGUGAUGGAAGAACGUCUACAUGGCUUUAAAAUUGGAUUUAAAAGGCAAAUAUUUUAAAUGAAGGAAAACCCAAGAAGUUUACUUGAUUCCUUAUCUUCCAGGAUGCGACUUUUGUUUAUUUAUUUAUUUUAUUUUGAUGGAGUCUCGCUGCCGUCGCGCAGGCUGGAGUGCAGUGACGCGAUCUUGACCCGGGAACCUCCACCUCCCGGGUUCAAGCGAUUCUCCUUCCUCAACCACCCGAGUAGCUGGGAUUACAGGCGUGUGCCACCAUGCCCGGCUAAUUUUUGUGUUUUUAGUAGAGACCGGGGAAGGUAUGGGCCCUCUUUUGAGAAAAAUGCAGAGUGACACUGAAUUUUGUAACUACAUCAGGAGGCUCUUGAACCUUCUGCAGCUCACUCGUGGAGUUUGUAGAGAUGCGUAAUAAUCCGAAGUGUUAAGGAAGAAGGUUCUGUUGAGAAAAAGUUGGAGGGCUGAAAGGGAUGCCUUUCGCUAUUUCGACAUGUGUGGCUGUACCCCAGAGUGCCCUGGCUAACACGCAAAACCAUGAAUUAGGCGGCUUGGCGAGGCUCAGUGGAGGCUGGGGCCGAGAGUCAUGUCAAAGUUUGUGGGGUUAACCUGCACCCAGUGACAGUCAUGGCGAAGUUUGUGAGGUUAACUCGCACCCAGUAACGCUGUUCCAAUGCAAGGUGUGUAUUUGGUGUCAUCCACGGGAAGAGGAAACAGCAAAUUUUCUCAUGGCCUUGGCAGUUCCACAUGAUGGACAUUUCAUAUCUGCAGUUUUCUUCGCAUGAGAUGGCUUUUUUGCACAAAAACACUGGAAUCCAGUGAGCAAGAAUGAUAGAAUGCAAGAUGGAUUUCCACAUGAGGAAGUGUCACGAACAAGCGUUUUGCAUCUCUGUCAGCUGGAUUCCCCCAUGUGUACGUAUGUGAGAACAUGCCGUGUUUCCUGUCUGUAAUGGUAGAGGCAGCCCUGAUACUGGAUUUUCACCUGAGGAUGGAUAGAUCUUCAGGGUUCAAGUGGGUUUGCAUCUGGACUUUAGGGUGGCCCUGUAGGCCCUGUGUGAGAAGCCCCCUUCCCAGUGAACUUUCCCUUGUGUGCCCGCGUGGACAGCCAACAGGGGGAGCAGUGCGAGCGUGAAGGCAGACAGUGGCCUGGCCCAGUCUGAUGGUAAGUGGGCCAGAGGCAGUGAGUACCAUUUCUUGAUCUGACUACUCAAGACAGGCGCUUCCCUAGGUACUUUCACACCUCAUUGCGAGGUACGUGUUGUUCCCAUUUUACAGGUGCAGAAGCUGAGCUGCAGAGGCGUUAGGUACCUGCCUCAUAAGUGGUAGAGACUCCAGUGUCACCCUGCCCCUCACGUUCGGAGCCCCCGAGGGAGGGUCUGCCGGGCAGCUCAGCCCAGCACUCUGUAAGGAAAUCUUCAGUGCCACUGCCCAGGAUGUCUUCCCGGGGAUUGGGCCUGAAUGUCUUGACCAUGCCGUGCUGGAGGUAGGAGGGGUGUCUUCAUAUGGAAGAACUGUACAUAUUUCUUUGGCAGAUGGCUGAACUCUGUGACCCCGGGGCCUGUUUCAGCCUCCUGCUGUCAGAAAGCAGCUGUUUGGGAAGAGGCUGUGAUUCGGCCUUGUUUGAGGGCCGAUACUCUGAAUGGGUGAGGCUUGGAAUCCUCCCUUUGGAACAAAGAAACAUAAUGAUUUUGCUGAAGGUAGAAUUGGGGGACUAGGCAGAGUGGCCUCCUGCCCUCCCUGGGGUGGUUCUGUCUUUUGCAAAGGUGGCUGCAUCCUUAGGGGAAGGUGAGGGGAGAAGCAGGGAGCAUGGAGAGAAGUGGCUUUCGAUUUUCUCUCUCCUUUUGGGGAGUUCCUCCUUAUGUGGCUGGUCUGGUGCAUAGUGUGAUGUAUUCCUGUACGCAACGUUGCCCUGACAGCCAGUCCAAGCUGAGUCUAGAGCUGGCAAGGUGAGCUCCCAGUAGUAAGAGGGUGUGGGCGGCAAGCCACCCAGGCACCGAGGCAAGAGACAGAGGACACGAGCUGUUCCAGUAUAAUAAAAUAUAAAACAAGAAUAGUUAUACCAGAUAUAGAUCUUAGAUAUGAUUAUAUAUGAAUAUCAUUAAUCAUGAGUUUGCAGCAAUUACUUUUUAUUCCAAUAUUAUGAUAAUCCUCGCUCUAUAAUCAUAGCCUAGGAAAAACCAGGCCAUACAGAGGAGCUGAGGGGACAUAGUGAGGUGUGACCAGAAGACAAGAGUGCGAGGCUUCUGUUAUGCCCGGACAGGGCCACAAGAGGGCUCCUUGGUCUAGCGGUGACGCCAGCGUCUGGGAAGACGCCCGUUACCCGGCGGAUCGUGGCCCAGUGGUAGCAAAAGGUGUCAAGGAACAACACUCACUACUUAGCAGACCGGGAAAGGGGCGGGGGGGGGGUCUCCCUUUCCCCGGGGGAGUUUAGAAAAGACUCUGCUCCUCCACCUCUUGUGGAGGGCCUGACAUCAGUCAGGCUUGCCCGUAGUUAUCCGGAGGCCUAACUGUCUCCCUGUGAUGCUGUGCUUCAGUGGUCACACUCCUUGUCUGCCUUCAUGUUCCAUCCUGUACACCUGGCUCUGCCUUCUAGAUAGCAGUAGUAAAUUAGUGAAAAUACUAAUAGUCCCUGAUAUGCAGAAAUAAUGGUAUAAGCUGUCUUUCUCUCUGUCUCCUCUCCCUCUCUGCCUCGGCUGCCAGGCAGGGAAGGGCCCCCUGUCCAGUGGACACGUGACCCACGUGACCUUACCUAUCAUUGGAGGUGACUCACAUUCUUUACCCUGCCCCUUCUGUCUUGUAUCCGAUAAAUAACAGCGCAGUCAGACAUUCGGGGCCACUACCGGUCUCCGCGCAUUGGUGGUAGUGGUCCCCCGGGCCCAGCUGCCUUUUCUCUUAUCUCUCUGUCUUGUGUCUUUAUUUCUACACUCUCUCAUCGCCACACACAGGGAGAGACCCACCGACCCUGUGGGGCUGGUCCCUACAUCUGGCGCUCUGACGUGGGGCUCUCCCUCGCUGUGUGAAGUUGCACCCUGAGUGCGGGAUCAGCGGAGGAGUUCAACGAGAGAUUCCUGAGGAUUGCAGUCUAUAAACUUGGUGGAAAAGAACUACAGCCUGUGUGGGUCCCCUCCCGACAAUUAAAAUUGCACCAUAACUCCAAAGAUGAAACGCUCCCAGAAAGAAAAGGCAAAGACCCAUCGGAAACAAAAGAGCAACUUUCACCGCCUGAUACAUACACUUCAUGACAUCCACAUUGAGACAAAAUCUCGCCGUGUGACCUACAACACCUCUCGUUCAACCCCACCUACUUGGGGUCGAAUACAGAUUUUAUCUCAUCAAACAGAAAAAUUCUUAACAGAAAAAGGAAUCCCAAAAAUGACUGGUAAUAUAAUUCUGGCUGCCUUUAUGGUAGUCAGUGCAGCGGUAAGUAUACCACCGGUCGGGGCAACUCAAAAUUAUACUUAUUGGGCAUAUGUUCCUUUUCCCCUUCUAAUUCGGUCUGUCUCCUGGAGGGACUCUCCAGUAGAAGUUUACACUAAUAAUAGUGCAUUCAUGCCGAUCCCUAAUGAUGAUCGGUUUCCAGCUCAACCGGAAGAAGAAGGUAUGCACUUUAAUCUGUCAAUUGGCUAUAAAUAUCCACCAUUAUGUAUUGGGAAGUCGCCUGGUUGUUUAGCUUAUUCUUAACAGAAUUGGAUGUGGACUGUACCGUCCUUUACAAAUGAUUCUUAUCAAGUAUAUAAUGUGUUCAGUACUAACUCUUUUCAACUUCUCACUGUCAAACGUACCCCACAUGAGGCAUGGAGAGUUCCUCUCACUACCAAAACUAAUAAAACAAAAGGACUGCCGGACUGUCCAAAGAAACCUACAAAUGGGCCUUUUAUAGUGACUUCAAUUUUAUGGGAUAAUUGUAAUGCUCCCAAGGCUGUUGUACUCCAAACUCUAGCCAUGGGUAUUGUUAUUGAUUGGGCUCCAAAAGGACAUUAUUGGCAAGAUUGCUCCAGCAAAAAUACCUUAUGCUCGGAGUUUAUUUAUUCCUUAGAUUAUAUAGAGCAUGGGUGGCAGUCUUACACGAUGAGACAACGGGUGUCUCCUUACCCAUUUAAAUGGAUGGACACAGGUAUUGCUCCUCCUAGACCAAAAAUUAUUCAUCCCUUUUUUACCCCAGAACAUCCUGAACUAUGGAAAUUAGCUGCAGCUUUGUCGGGAAUAAAGAUAUGGAACACUACCUAUCAGCUCCUUCGUACUAAAACCAAAACACCCACAUUCAACAUCACCCUUAUUUCUGAAUGGGUGAUACCCAUUAGGAGCUGUGUCAAACCCCCUUACAUGCUGUUGGUUGGAAAUAUAAUUAUGAUGCCUGAUGCACAAACUAUAGAAUGUCAUAACUGUAAGCUGUUCACUUGCAUUGAUGCAACUUUUAAUCCCACUACAAGUAUUCUCUUGGUAAGGGCUAGGGAGGGGGUAUGGAUACCAGUUUCUCUACAUCGUCCAUGGGAGUCUUCCCCCUCUAUUCACAUAGUCAAUGAAGUUCUUAAAGACAUCCUCAAAAGAACAAAGAGAUUUAUUUUUACUCUUAUUGCAGUCCUUGCAGGACUACUUGCGGUUACUGCAACAGCAGCAACUGCUGGAGUUGCCAUCCGCAGUUCUGUUCAAACUGCUCACUAUGUUGAAGCAUGCCAGAAAAAUUCCUCCAGACUUUGGAAUUCUCAGGCGCAAAUUGAUCAAAAAUUAGCUAAUCAGAUUAAUGAUCUCCGCCAAAGUGUAACCUGGCUGGGAGAUAGAGUUAUGAACUUGCAACACCGUAUGCAAUUACAGUGUGAUUGGAAUACUUCUGAUUAUUGCAUAACGCCUUAUGCUUAUAAUCAAGAUCAACAUAGCUGGGAAAAUGUCUCAAGACAUUUAAAAGCCUGGGAUGAUAACUUAACCUUGGAUAUUUCACAACUUAAAGAGCAAAUCUUUGAGGCUUCACAAGCCCAUUUAUCCACAGUUCCUGGCUCACACAUUUUUGAAGGCAUAACUAAACAAUUACCUGAUUUUAAUCCCUUCAAAUGGCUCAAACCCGUCAGAGGAUCAUUGUUGUUACUGGCAUUAUUAAUAUUGGUAUGCUUAUGUUGUCUCCUUUUAGUCUGCAGAUGCCUCUAAGGAGUCCGAAACCAAGUCCGAAGUCAACAACAAGCAAUGAUGGCGAUGGCGAUUCUAGUUAAUAAAAAGGGGGGAGAUGUGGGCGGCAAGCCACCCAGGCACCGAGGCAAGAGACAGAGGACACGAGCUGUUCCAGUAUAAUAAAAUAUAAAACAAGAAUAGUUAUACCAGAUAUAGAUCUUAGAUAUGAUUAUAUACGAAUAUCAUUAAUCAUGAGUUUGUAGCAAUUACUUUUUAUUCCAAUAUUAUGAUAAUCCUCGCUCUAUAAUCAUAGCCUAGGAAAAACCAGGCCAUACAGAGAUAGGAGCUGAGGGGACAUAGUGAAGUGUGACCAGAAGACAAGAGUGCGAGCCUUCUGUUAUGCCCGGACAGGGCCACCAGAGGGCUCCUUGGUCUAGCGGUGACGCCAGCGUCUGGGAAGACACCCGUUACCAGGCGGAUCGUGGCCCAGCCGUAGCAAAAGGUGUCAAGGAACACCUUUUGCAAAAGGUGUCAACACCCGCUACUUAGCAGACUGGGAAAGGGGGGCGGUCUCCCUUUCCCCGGGGGAGUUUAGAGAAGACUCUGUUCCUCCACCUCUUGUGGAGGGCCUGACAUCAGUCAGGCUUGCCCGUAGUUAUCCGGAGGCCUAACUGUCUCCCUGUGAUGCUGUGCUUCAGUGGUCACGCUCCUAGUCUGCCUUCAUUUUCCAUCCUGUACACCUGGCUCUGCCUUCUAGAUAGCAGUAGUAAAUUAGUGAAAAUACUAAUAGUCCCUGAUAUGCAGAAAUAAUGGCAUAAGCUGUCUUUCUCUCUGUCUCCUCUCCCUCUCUGCCUCGGCUGCCAGGCAGGGAAGGGCCCCCUGUCCAGUGGACACAUGACCCAUGUGACCUUACCUAUCAUUGGAGGUGACUCACAUUCUUUACCCUGCCCCUUCUGCCUUGUAUCCAAUAACAGCGCAGUCAGACAUUCAGGGCCACUACCGGUCUCCGCACAUUGGUGGUAGUGGUCCCCCGGGCCCAGCUG